Molecule: ribosomal RNA, 423 nt
Filed under: uncultured bacterium
Lineage: Bacteria
Description: partial 16S ribosomal RNA
Rfam family: Bacterial small subunit ribosomal RNA
Source: RNAcentral
AAUAUUGGACAAUGGGGGCAACCCUGAUCCAGCCAUGCCGCGUGCGUGAAGAAGGUCUUCGGAUUGUAAAGCCCUUUAAGUUGGGAGGAAGGGCUUUAGGCUCAUACCCUGAAGUUUUGACGUUACCAACAGAAUAAGCACCGCCUAACUCGGCUCCAGCAGCCGCGGUAAUACAGAGGGUGCAAGCGUUAAUCGGAAUUACUGGGCGUAAAGCGGGCGUAGGUGGUUCAGGAAGAUGGGUGUGAAAUCCCCGGGCUUAACCUGGGAACUGCUUUCAUAACUGCUGAGCUAGAGUACGGUAGAGGGUAGUGGAAUUUCCUGUGGAGCGGUGAAAUGCGUAGAUAUAGGAAGGAACACCAGUGGCGAAGGCGACUACCUGGACUGAUACUGACACUGAGGUGCGAAAGCGUGGGGAGCAAACAG